UACAGAGGGUGCGAGCGUUGUCCGGAAUCACUGGGCGUAAAGAGCGUGUAGGCGGCCCGGUAAGUCCGCUGUGAAAGUCCAGGGCUCAACCCUGGGAUGCCGGUGGAUACUGUCGGGCUCGAGUCCGGAAGAGGAGUGUGGAAUUCCUGGUGUAGCGGUGAAAUGCGCAGAUAUCAGGAGGAACACCAAUGGCGAAGGCAGCACUCUGGGACGUGACUGACGCUGAGACGCGAAAGCGUGGGGAGCAAACAGG
RNAcentral lists this ribosomal RNA (253 nucleotides) under uncultured bacterium. RNAcentral's name for it is "partial 16S ribosomal RNA". It matches the Rfam family "Bacterial small subunit ribosomal RNA", at positions 524 to 776 of the family's 1533-position model. The record is from RNAcentral.